Molecule: long non-coding RNA, 2415 nt
Organism: Catharus ustulatus (Swainson's thrush)
Lineage: Eukaryota; Metazoa; Chordata; Aves; Passeriformes; Turdidae
Exons: 2
Source: RefSeq, a predicted model, not a curated record
AAAAAAAAUGAGAGGGGUAGAAAGGAUAUGAGAACAAAAGAAAAUAAAAAUAAACAAAAGCUUAAAAUAGAAGUGUGGAGAAGGCAUUUUCAUACAACACAGACCCAGGAACAUAAAAAUAUAUGAGGUGACAGGAUGCACUUCCAGUAUCAAUCCUGAUUUCCAUCUCCCAGUCCAGAUGACAGGAAGCACCAAAGUGUGCAUUGGCAACAGACACCUGAUUUACUGAAAUCAAGGAGAUACAGCCACCUUUCCAUGCUCAUUUUUCCCUUCUUCCUGCAGUUCUUGUGAGUUGAAGUACAAACUCACAAGGUAAUGCUUCCAGAGUGACUGAUCUGAGCAGAGAUCCCUGCAGUGAGGAAGAGCAGGGACAACCUUCCCUCCUGAUGCAAAAUGUUAGACUUCACCAUCCUGCAGUUUUCUGUGGCAUGAUCCACACACACUCAAUAUUGAUCUGCCUUCUGUAAAGGGAGAAAUUACAAAGGACACCAUUAUUGUCUUGAUAUUUUAUGGCCCCAACUUUGUAAUUACAGUCUCAAAGUAGCUUACUGUAUCAUGCUGCAGCACAGGAAGAAGUCAGGAACAGACAAAGGACAAUUACAAUAGAAAGGCAAUUACAUUUCUAAUGACUAGAAAAGGUAGGCAGCAUUUAUUUGGGGCAGAGUAACCAAGAGCAGCUGCUUUUCAGAAUAAUCCACUAUUUUCUGUUUUAGAAACAAACAGAACAGCAGUUUCCAGAGCCUUGCAUUGUACACAACUCCUCACUUUGAGCCCCAAACCUCUCCUGCAGAUGCCAAAGUCAAAUACAAGAGCCUGUUCAACCCUUCCAACCGCCCAUGGCAGCACCAAGCAGGCUGCAGGGGAACCACUGCCCCCCAAACCCCAUCCAGUCAGAUCAGGAGAGGAUUCUCAACAAACUGAGAGAAUUAUUCUGCCAAAUUCAGUGGUCUGUGGCCUCCAUCCUUUUCUGCACUGCCAAGGGGCAGCAUGUCCCAAAACAGAGCAGGACCAAGGACUCUCCAGGAUGACACAGUCUCUAGACGGGUGGCUUGCACAAAUCAGACACACCUCACUCCUACCUCACUAGCUCUAUUCACACUACUUCUUCAAAAAUUAAAAAAAUCCUUCCAUUUGUCCAGCACAUUGGAAAUCGACAGAAGAAUAAACCUUAUGUGAUAUUCCCAACAAGUCAGUCCUGGUCCUGCAGUGCCUUUCUGCCAGGGCAGCUGGCAGAGAGCAGUGACAACGUGGUAACACAGAACUGCUCUGACACCUUCUGGUGACAGAAAUGUGACAAACUCCAUCACAGCCCUCGGGACAGCAAUGGUGAGGACGGACCAGAGACUUGCUCUGGAUUUCUCCUCUAAACAUCAUCCACGAUGCAGUGGCAGCACUGAGCAGGAAAGGAGCCACUGCAAACCCUCAGCCUCUCAUUCAUGUCACAGACUCCUACUAAAUUUAAACUGAAUUAAAAAUCACGUAAUAUUUUAACACAGAAUCUAGAGAAAAGGCAUCCAGCUUUGUAUGCACAUCAUCUCCACAAUCACGCCUGUCAUUAAUCAUUACCUUUAGCCUCUGUUUAGUACCUUGAUAGUGAGAUGUUUUACUUUCUCCAACAGCAUUGUCAGGAGGAAUAGCAGGCUCCCAGCAUGGCACCACUGCCCAGGCCACACGAGACAAGAGAACAGUCAGCACCCUUCACCUGGAUACUCAGCUGAGACACGACCUGCACACAUCACUUGCACCAGCUCCACCUGUUGUGCAAUGGAUUUAAGGUUUUGAGAACAAGACCCAAGGAAAUGACCCCACACAGACCCUGCACUCGAGCCCCAGAGCUGAGCCUGUGCCCUGCAGAUGGAGCUCAGGAAUUUCACAGGAGCUCUCCGUGCCACAGAAGCCAGGCAGCCUCCACGCCCCGUGCAGCCAGGGAUCCAGGAGACUUUAUUAAAGGUCACAGGAAGAACUGAAAUCUUCACAACCAGCCAUUUACAUCCAGCUGCUCCGGUGACCAGCAUCAGUUCCCAAGAGGGAAAUGCCAGCAUGCAGCUCCAGAGUGACAGUCCUGUGGAUGAGACACUGCCACCUCAGAGGCACAGACAGUAGAACUGCCCCUGCUCCAAACAGGUCAUGUCUGAGAGAUUCUGCCCAUCUUUUGAGCUGGAAAGUGAGCUAGUUGGUCAGUAAAAGCUUUUAUUUCAAGUAAAUUAUGUGACAAAAUUUGAGUACAAACUUGAGUACAAAUUUUGUGGUUAAAAGAAUUUACAGUUCUAAUUAACAUGCAUAAUGAGCUAUUUAAUUUUGUGUAUCUGUAAAAAAAGCAGCUUCAUUCUGUGUUACCUACAGUGGCCUCACUCUGCCAUGAUACCAAACCCUACCAUCCCCUGCAGCACAAAGCACACCAGCAGAGAAAAUUUA